AUGAGGGACGAGCCGCCAGCGACGGAUCCCGCGAGGCCAACCUCCAGCGCCCCUUCUCCGGCCGGCCUUGAACGACCUUGUCCCGCCGGAGCUAGGUGGGUCGAUGACCCGCUGGAUGGGAGCUGGCAUGUCCAGCCACCACCUCUGGUGCCCCGUCGCGCACCUGCCCGCCGCCAGGGGCCCGAGGGCCAAGUUGCGGGGUUGUGCGGUCGCGCUGGUCAUCCUCCGCUCCAGGAAGCAUCUUGCCGGGGUUGGGGUCAAUCCCGGGCAGGCCUGAGGAGGAGAGCGGGCGGCCUCCGUCAGUCCUCUCCGGUGAGGCCUUUGACAAGAGGGGCCAAGAUCGAUGCUACCAAGUGCCAUUUGCUUCAGUGCAUUUUGUUUGAUGAAUCUGUUCAUGAAGGAAUCUGCAGUCCUAACAAAGAAGAUGGAAAGAGUACUCCUGGAAAGUGA
This 450-nucleotide ribosomal RNA is filed under the name Triticum aestivum (bread wheat). RNAcentral describes it as "partial small subunit ribosomal RNA". Lineage: Eukaryota; Viridiplantae; Streptophyta; Magnoliopsida; Poales; Poaceae. The record is from RNAcentral.